Molecule: ribosomal RNA, 484 nt
Filed under: uncultured bacterium
Lineage: Bacteria
Description: partial 16S ribosomal RNA
Rfam family: Bacterial small subunit ribosomal RNA
Source: RNAcentral
AGUGAACGCUGGCGGCAGGCCUAACACAUGCAAGUCGAGCGGCAGCGGGUCCUUCGGGAUGCCGGCGAGCGGCGGACGGGUGAGGAAUGCAUCGGAAUCUGCCCUGUCGUGGGGGAUAACCUAGGGAAGCUUAGGCUAAUACCGCAUACGACCCACGGGUGAAAGCGGGGGAUCGCAAGACCUCGCGCGAUAGGAUGAGCCGAUGUCCGAUUAGCUAGUUGGCGGGGUAAAGGCCCACCAAGGCGACGAUCGGUAGCUGGUCUGAGAGGAUGAUCAGCCACACUGGGACUGAGACACGGCCCAGACUCCUACGGGAGGCAGCAGUGGGGAAUAUUGGACAAUGGGCGCAAGCCUGAUCCAGCCAUGCCGCGUGGGUGAAGAAGGCCUUCGGGUUGUAAAGCCCUUUUGUCCGGGAAGAAGUCGUCUGGGCUAAUACCCCGGGCGGAUGAGGGUACCGGAAGAAUAAGCACCGGCUAACUUCGUG